Molecule: transfer RNA, 358 nt
Filed under: uncultured Microcystis sp.
Lineage: Bacteria; Bacillati; Cyanobacteriota; Cyanophyceae; Chroococcales; Microcystaceae
Description: partial 16S-23S ribosomal RNA intergenic spacer
Rfam family: tRNA (bases 134-207)
Source: RNAcentral
AAAGGGAGACCUAAUUCCGGUAGGAGACGAAAAAAAAGUAGUCCCUACCAAGAAUCAAUCCCAAAAGGUCGGAACGAGGUAUGAGGCUUUCAAACUAGGUUCUGGGUUCAAACAAGACCUGAAUCAGGAACAAGGGCUAUUAGCUCAGGUGGUUAGAGCGCACCCCUGAUAAGGGUGAGGUCCCUGGUUCGAGUCCAGGAUGGCCCACCUGCACAGGUGGCAAAAACAAGAGAAGCGAGGAAUCAGCACCUUAUCUUAUCUAUAUAUAAGAGAGAAUGCUGGCUCUGAGUAAAGAGUCCAGAGGAACCUUGAAAACUGCAUAGAGCUAGGUGAAAAAGCCAAAAAAGAAGACCGCAAG